GCCAACGUAAGUUACGUUACAUUGCCUAAAUUCAAUAUGUUACACAAUAACGCAAUAAUGAAGUCAAUGCUGACAUUUGGUUUGGCACGAGACCUCCAUCCAUCCAUCCAUCCCAACCACCUCCAAUGUUCAACGUUAUCGCUCUGUCAGCUGACAUUGUUUUGUCUGUGGCAUUCUAGCAAAGAAAGGUGUGCUGGUAAACAAGUAUGCAGGGGAGCAAGGAGGGAGGGCACACACACACACACACACACACACACACACACAGUAACACAGGGGAAAACAAGAUACACAGAGGAAGAGAGACACAUGCAAAAUAACCAGAGGCACGGCAGUAGCUGGGACAACUUUGGAUUUGGGAAUCACGCACACUGGUCUAGUAAUGAGGAUUUUCAUUCAUUGUGUCAAACAACUGAAGAAAAAAGUGAUUAUUUACUGUUAUUGUGAAAAAAAAUGUAAUGAAUUUAAAGAAUGCAGACAAAUAGAUAUUGUUUGAUUGGGCGGCGUCUGAACCCUCUGGCUACAUCCUGCUAUGCUUUGAUUCACGUCAUUCAUACCUUACACACUUUAAGAGAACACAAGAGGAGUGCAGGCGCUAACUUGCCUUUCACCUUUAAGGAGAAAUUGACCGAGGGAAUAUUGUUUGCAGCCGACUCAGGACCUGCUGCUGCUUCGUCUCCACUCUCAGGAAAUAAUGAUCUUCAACAUCCUGCUGCUCAUGGACCUGACAUGUAUCUGUGGAACAUUUGUAGUGAAUGUGACACAGACCUCCUAUCAGGCAGAGGAGAACAAUAACGUCACACUGGAAUGGAUGUUCACAACCAACACCGACAGUUCCCACAACUCCCUUUAUAUCUUCUGUGAACUGAUUACUGAUCAAAAGGAUCCAGUCCUGUAUCAUCUACAUGAAGGUGUCGAGGUCCCAGAGUCUCAGGAUGAACAGUUUGCAGGACGAGUCCAGUGUGACAAAGACGUCCUCACAGAAGGAAAAAUCAGACUCCAUGUGUCCAAACUCAGGACUGAAGACUCUGGCCCGUACCUGUGUGAUGUGAAAAUUAAUGAUGGUGUUGGCUUGGGUAAAUGUCAGCUCAAUGUCACUGGUAAGUUAAUUCAGUAAAAUUCAGUAAGUCUACAAUCAUGCCAACAGCUUUGUGAGGCUGUACUGAACAACCAUGCUCAGAAUCAAACAGAUUUUUUUUUCUAAUUAGCACUUAACAGAAGCUAUAGCUGAGUUGAGUUACCACCGUGUUUUGGACAAAUUAAUAUUUAUACCUGAUUAUGGCACAAAAAGAAACAUUAGUGGAUCACCGAAGUUAAAAUGUAUUCUUUGGGACAGAGCUGUGCUGCUAAUGUGGCUAAAACUCUCCAUCAUAACUACCUAGAGCCAUGAAACAGUGGCUAGCAGCAAAUCCUUACAUUUGAGAAGCUAUAACUAGAUAUUGUCUGAUGUUUGUACUGGAAAAGUUGCAGACUAUUAAUGUCUUUACUUAUAUGGAUAUCGUAUUUUCAGUCAAGUAGUAAAUAAUGAUUUUUUUGGUUGUUCAGCUGUUGAUGAACCCAAACCUCAUAAACCAUCUGAGAGACCACAACCAGAGAAUCGAGAAGAGGUUGGACUCUAUGUUGGACUGGGAGCAGCUGCUCUACUGGUUCUCUGUGCUGGACUCGGCACUGCCUUCAAACUUUAUUUUACAAGAAAAAAAAAGGGACCUGCAGUUGUAUAGAUAUUGAGUUUCUCAGAGAAACAAACAAUAAGGACUAAGAGAACAAUGUCUGGCAGUUGGUUCAAGAUCUCAGUCAUGAAACCAAGAGACAGACUCCAAGACUCUCCAACAUCUGUUUUAAGAAAACUACUUGUGAUAUGAAAUGUAUAUGUUUGUGGUAAAUGGUGUUCAUGUUACAAUGGGUUUGGUUUAAAUUAAAUACAGCAUUAAUAAUUAAUGUGAAUGUCAAUAAUGCUUCCACUGUGAUCCCAGAUAUUUCAUGUUUAAUAUCACUUCAGAAGUAGUGCACAGGCAAGACAUCUAAACAGUCAGUGUCGGGUUGAUGUAGCUACAUGGACUCCAUUCAACAUCCUCCAUUAUAAGAUCUCUAAAAUGUCACAGUUAUUACUGUAUGAUGGGUUUUUCAGAGGAAUAAUUCAGAUUUAGCAUUCAGUUGGUUCAGUCACGGAUCGCCCUGUUCUCCAACCAGCUGUUAUUAAUCAUCAGUUAAAGACUGUGUCUGGAAUUAACAAGACAACAGAAUUUUAAAAGUACUGUACAGUUAAUUAUAUCGUAAUCCGACUGAUGGACAUGCACUGUCUUUCCUAUGUACUGUUUAUACUGUAUACAUGUUGUAAAUAAAUCUCUAUUUACAUGAGAUAAGUUGUCAUUAAUCUUCUGUGUGUAAUUCUUUUAAUAUCAGACAUACAAAUGUUGAAUUUCAGU
Molecule: long non-coding RNA, 2423 nt
Organism: Dicentrarchus labrax (European seabass)
Lineage: Eukaryota; Metazoa; Chordata; Actinopteri; Moronidae
Source: Ensembl